This 354-nucleotide ribosomal RNA is filed under the name Microbacterium enclense. Its description in RNAcentral is "bacterial SSU rRNA". It matches the Rfam family "Bacterial small subunit ribosomal RNA", at positions 1 to 353 of the family's 1533-position model. Lineage: Bacteria; Bacillati; Actinomycetota; Actinomycetes; Micrococcales; Microbacteriaceae. The record is from RNAcentral.
CUUUUACGGAGAGUUUGAUCCUGGCUCAGGAUGAACGCUGGCGGCGUGCUUAACACAUGCAAGUCGAACGGUGAAGCCAAGCUUGCUUGGUGGAUCAGUGGCGAACGGGUGAGUAACACGUGAGCAACCUGCCCUGGACUCUGGGAUAAGCGCUGGAAACGGUGUCUAAUACUGGAUAUGAGGCGUGAUCGCAUGGUCAUGUUUGGAAAGAUUUUUCGGUCUGGGAUGGGCUCGCGGCCUAUCAGCUUGUUGGUGAGGUAAUGGCUCACCAAGGCGUCGACGGGUAGCCGGCCUGAGAGGGUGACCGGCCACACUGGGACUGAGACACGGCCCAGACUCCUACGGGAGGCAGCA